RNAcentral lists this ribosomal RNA (465 nucleotides) under uncultured bacterium. RNAcentral's name for it is "partial 16S ribosomal RNA". It matches the Rfam family "Bacterial small subunit ribosomal RNA", at positions 338 to 795 of the family's 1533-position model. The record is from RNAcentral.
CCUACGGGUGGCAGCAGUAGGGAAUCUUCCACAAUGGGCGAAAGCUUGAUGGAGCAACGCCGCGUGGGUGAAGAAGGUCUUCGGAUCGUACAACCCUGUUGUUAGAGAAGAAAGUGCGUGAGAGUAACUGUUCACGUUUCGACGGUAUCUAACCAGAAAGCCACGGCUAACUACGUGCCAGCAGCCGCGGUAAUACGUAGGUGGCAAGCGUUAUCCGGAUUUAUUGGGCGUAAAGGGAACGCAGGCGGUCUUUUAAGUCUGAUGUGAAAGCCUUCGGCUUAACCGGAGUAGUGCAUUGGAAACUGGGAGACGUGAGUGCAGAAGAGGAGAGUGGAACUCCAUGUGUAGCGGGGAAAUGCGGAGAUAUAUGGAAUAACACCAGUGGCGAAAGCGGCUCUCUGGUCUGUAACUGACGCUGAGGUUCGAAAGCGUGGGUAGCAAACAGGAUUAGAUACCCUAGUAGUC